Molecule: ribosomal RNA, 212 nt
Filed under: uncultured bacterium
Lineage: Bacteria
Description: partial 16S ribosomal RNA
Rfam family: Bacterial small subunit ribosomal RNA
Source: RNAcentral
CAGUUCGGAUUGUAGGCUGCAACCCGACUACAUGAAGCUGGAAUCGCUAGUAAUCGCGAAUCAGAAUGUCGCGGUGAAUACGUUCCCGGGUCUUGUACACACCGCCCGUCACACCAUGGGAGUCGGAAAUGCCCGAAGUCAGUGACCCAACCGUAAGGAGGGAGCUGCCGAAGGUGGAGCCGGUAACUGGGGUGAAGUCGUAACAAGGUACC